RNAcentral lists this long non-coding RNA (4659 nucleotides) under Setaria italica (foxtail millet). RNAcentral describes it as "long non-coding RNA (SITA_LNC003813)". Lineage: Eukaryota; Viridiplantae; Streptophyta; Magnoliopsida; Poales; Poaceae. The record is from RNAcentral.
CUCCGGCGGCGGCAGGCAGAUGGCAUGUCCGGUGUGGUGUGGCGGCAGGCUUCUCCUGUCCGCCGCGAUUCGUUGCAGGCUGGAGCCUCAACGAGUAUCUGAAGCCAGGAUGCCCAGGUUUCCAAUCUGGAAUGAUGAGCUAGCCGCCCUCCAGGCGGAUCCUCUCUGGGUUUCCAGCUCCAGGUACCUCCCGCUGUUCGUGUUUCUACCAAAAAUUAGAACUAGUACUACGUACUUCUGUUCUGUAGCAAUGGCCCGAUAGGAAUGUAAAUGUAAUGGUAAAGAUCGCAACCCCGUAUGUUUAUCUUCAUUAGUUCAAGAAUUGGGCACGCAAAUGAUGGUACACAACAAAGAACCCGCUGACCACUAACGUGUUCUUAUCUCGAUACAUGCGAAAAUCCCACAUUACAGACAGAAGAAAGAACCCGCUGACUGCGAUCGAUCACCUAUAGUCAUUCAGAGAAGACCAGCAAAGAGCUACUUGCGCAUAAAGCCAGUCACACAGACUAUCAGAGGCUGCGAAGCAAGCAAUUCUCUGUUUUGUCCCGAACAAGAGGAUGCAGAAGACCGUCCAGAGACCAAUCGCAAAUCCAGAAAUCGUGGAGAUGGAAAGGAAGAAGGCAUCACCUCCUGCAUCCUUCCGAUCUUCUGGUACAACAGAGAUCAUCCCAGUUUCAGGACAUUUGUUGGAGAGAGGAGGACCACACAGGCCCGGGUUGCCGAUAUAGAUUGACGCCUGGUCAUCGAGCACUUGCAGCUGAUUUCCUGAUGGUAUCUUUCCUGUAAGAUUGUUAUAUGACAUGUUCAAGUGGCUUAAAGAAGUGAGAGCUGAUAAGCUUGUUGGAAUUUCACCAGACAGCUCGUUGUGUGACAGGUCGAGAGACUCCACUUGCACCAGGGCACCAAUCUUUUCAGGAAUUUUUCCAGUAAAGGAAUUCCAUGACACAUUUAAGCUCUUCAGUGCAACAAGACUACCGAUCUCUUCAGGAAUAUUUCCAAUAAAAUUGUUACACGAUAAAUCCAGAUUCACCAUAUAUAUGAUUUCUCCUGUAUAUAGUUGUUCUUGACCCUUUGUGACUACUGUGAAAUUGUCAUCAUACUCUAUCAUUUCAUUUAAACCUUCUGACAUUCCCGAAUCCAGUGUACCUUCAUACUCAUCGUCAUAUUUGUCAGCUGUUAGUGCCAUCCCCUUGAAGUUAACAAUAGAUUUUGGUAUGAUGCCUGACAAGUUAUUGUAGGCAAGGUCCAAAUACUGAAGUUUAACCAGAUUCGUAAGCUCCACGGGAAUGUGACCGCAAAACAUAUUGUGUCUUAGCCGCAAGAAUGCCAAAGAUGGUAACCUGCCCCCAAUCCAUGAGUGUAAAGUCCCAAAGAAUUGAUUAUGUGAUAGAUCGAGAAAUAUGAGUUGCUGGCAGUUCCAGAGAAAUAAAGGAAAUUCACCAGAGAGGUUGUUGUUCCUUAAACUUAGAUUAUGAAUACUGAAACUUGUCGUGUUUGUUGUGGAUUCAUAAUCUUGGCAAUCAGGAAGUGUCCCAGUGAGCUUAUUGCCUGAGAGAUCUAACAACCUUAGCAAUCGCAAUUUGCACAAUGAAGAUGGAAUAGAGCCAGAGAUGAAGUUAUUAUAUAGAAAAAGUGUUUCAAGCCUGGGUGCUCCAAAGUCUAGUGGCAGUGGCCCAGACAAAUUAUUUCUACUAAGAUCUAAUUUUGUUAGAUUUAUAGGAAGCUUAGGUAUGGGCCCAGUAAACUGGUUAGAACUUAAGUCCAUUGCAAAUGCUCUCAUAAGUUCCAUUUUAGGGGAUAGGAAACCGCUAAUUUGAUUACUUCUUAUGUUCAGAGUGUUCACCGAGGAAGCCAUUGUCCAGAACCAAUCUGGAACCAUGUCAUAUAUGCUUGUGUUUGAGAUGUCAAGGUUAUAUAUAUUUGUUUGCCAUUUAAGCCACAUUGGAAAUUUAGGCCCCAGAAUGCAUGACCGAAGUUCAACCUCUGUGAGACUAAAGGGAGGAACCCACGUCGAAUUCAGUCUGAUGGCUAUGGAAUUGUCAGACAGAGAUAAUCUCUCCAAGUUUACUAGGCCUGACAAAUGUCCCUCAUGUAAGGUACCAUCUAGGUUGUUGGUGCUGAGGUCCAAUUCAGCUAGAUUUGUGAGCUUCCCUACCCACAGUGGCACAGGACCAGUGAGCUUGUUAUCACUAAGUUCAAGCCAUGCCAAAUUUCUGAAGGGUUCUAAUUUGGCUGGUAGGCUUCCUGUCAGAUUGCUUUCAGGUAGAAACAAUGUUUUGAAUUUGUUCCAUGAACAACUAGGUAAACGAUUGAUGAAUUCUGUUAUACUCCCAUUGAUGUUGUUUUGAAACAAAAACAACUCCUGCAAAUUACAAAGAUUUUUCAGGUUUGGAGGUAUCAUGCCCACAAGAUUAUUUUCUGAUAAAUCAAGGUGCACUGUGGAGGUCAUAUUUCCUAUCUCGUCAGGAAAUGGGCCGUCAAAUUGACAGGCUGAGGCAUCAAGAUACUUAAGGCUAGUUAAAUCCCAAAACCAGUUGGGUGCGAUAAGCUUGUGGAAAUUGUUAGCCGAGAUGCUUAGGUAUUCAAGAGAUGUCAGAUUUGAAUGCCAAAGUGAAUCAGGGCUGGUGCUAAGGUCACAGAAAGAAAGAUCAAGACUUACAAGGGAAGGAAGCAUGUUCAUCACGGAAACCCAGUUCGUGAUGGUACUGAGGUUGACCCAGCUCAUGUCGAGGUGCUCAAGGGAAGAUAACCGUGAUAGCCAGGUGAUAUCCGUGGAGUGCGUGUCACCAAAAAUGGAAUCAAGAUUCAAGUAACGCAAGUUGGAGAGGUUUCCAAGCUGUGGUGGUAUCCUCCCAACCAAGCUCGACUGCGAUAGGUCAAGAUAUCUCAGUUCAUGGAAAGAGCCCAAGAACUCUGGUAUUUGCACCUUGUCGAACCGAUUGCAGCUGAGGUCGAGAUACUGCAACUGCUGCAAAACAAUCAGUGAGGAGCUUAUGUUACCUCCAAGCACCUGCAUACUCGCAUCACUGUUGUCGCAGUCAGGGCCUUGUAGAUCGAGCUUAACAAUAUGACUGCUUCUGUUGCUACACUGGACGCCCUUCCAUUGGCAGCAGCUGUCACCUUCCCAUGAUGAAAGGCGGUUUGCAGGGUCUGAUAGGCCAGCUCUGAAGGUGAGGAGAGCUGACCUCUCAUGGGCUAUACACUUCUUGAUGGUACCGUUUGUUUCGGUAGAUGCCUGUGUGGAGCUCUUGGUGUGGGUAAAAACGAGCAGGGCUAUGGCAAUUUGGAUGCAGGAGACGCGAAGCAUGCCCAUUGUUUGUUUGCUUUGGAUCUCUCUGUUCUUUUGGCGAUUUGGUCUGGAGUGGAGUAAUGCAACACGUUAUGGUGCUAAUUUAACGAGCUCUGGUAUUUCCGGUGUUUCAAUUGGUCUGCAGGUACUGUUCUUCGAUGUGAUUGGUACGGCGCAUGAAGAUUGGAGAAGAAAUUUCUCCUGGGAUGCUUUUGGUUGUCCUGAAGUGCAGGCAAUUUCCUAGUUGCUACCGGUGAUGUGACUGCAAAGACUAAUGAACAAUGAUUGAUGGCCAAAUGGAGCACACUAGCGACGACUUGUCUUCAACGACCUGGAGUUCCAACUGAUGGAGACAUCCAUUGACUUAGUAUGGUAAGCCUUAUUUUGUAGAACUUUAGGGCAGAGCUGUAAUAUUCCAUAAAAUUGAGUAAUAUUAAAUUGUGUCAAAAAUUUUGCAAAAAAAUAUAAAUUUUGUUUGAAUGUGUGACCCACGCAAAAAUUUGAUAAACAUAAGGUGCACCGUCUCAUUUUCCCCUCUAAUUCUAAUGUUAGUAAUUUAUAAUUGUGCAUUUAAAUGUGAAAUCAUGGUUGAUUUGGUUGUUAUUGGUUAUCAUUUGGAUCUCGAAUGUGUAGGAAGUUCAAAUUCAAACUAAAAGCUAACCAAAAAUUGAAAACCUAAAUGAUUAGCUUCUAACUUGCACCUAACCCGGCCCGCUAACCCAACCAUCAUCCCAUCCCUCUUCCUCUCCCGCUCGCUCCCUCCCUCCCUCCCUCCCUCCCUUUCUCUCUCCCUUCCGCACCAGGUCACCACGUCCAGCCCACCAACCGGUCCAGCCCGGCCUGCUUGGAGCCACCACCGACUAUUCUAGCCAUAUUGAAAAUUGCCAGAUUUUCUCUAUGUACUUAUCAUGUUCGCAAAAUAUUUUCUCUCUGUACUCUCUUCUCAGAAGUUUGCUGGGAUUUGAAAUCAAGCAAGCAUGGUGAUUAAUGGACAAACGGAGCAACCCCAACAAGGACUUCAAACAAUUCGGAAUUGCAACUGAUAGGGGAGACCCGUUGAUAAAAAUUGUAAAUUGUACAUGUACACCGUAGAAUUUGAGGAAGAUAUUCAAUAAUCGUUAGGUCACCGACAAUAUAAUUGAUAAUGACAAUAUACGAGUCUUUAUUAUUCAUUUCCUUAGUAGAAGAAAUAUAUAUCUCUGGGUUAACUAUAAUUUGGUCUCACUGACAUUUCAGCAACUGGGGUAGCAAAGAAUUCACAGGCGAUCCAAGGAAACAGUUGUUGCUGUUGUGUUCGCUUCAUCAAUCCUUUGAUCUCAGCGGCUAUAGUUUCCUCCUUGUCAAGAAAGCCCAGAUCAGAGCCAGGCGCA